Molecule: ribosomal RNA, 498 nt
Filed under: uncultured bacterium
Lineage: Bacteria
Description: partial 16S ribosomal RNA
Rfam family: Bacterial small subunit ribosomal RNA
Source: RNAcentral
AUUGAACGCUGGCGGCAUGCUUUACACAUGCAAGUCAAACGGUAACAGGACGCAAGGUGCUGACGAGUGGCGAACUGGUGAGUAAUGCAUCGGAACGUGCCCAGUAGUGGGGGAUAACGCAGCGAAAGCUGUGCUAAUACCGCAUACGAUCUAUGGAUGAAAGCGGGGGACAGUAAGGCCUCGCGCGAUUGGAGCGGCCGAUGUCAGAUUAGGUAGUUGGUGGGGUAAAGGCGCACCAAGCCAACGAUCUGUAGCUGGUCUGAGAGGACGACCAGCAAGACUGGGACUGAGACACAGCCCAGACUCGUACGGGAGGGAGCAGUGGGGAGUUUUAGACACGGGGCGAAAGCCUGAUCCUGGAAUGCCGCGUGCAGGAACAAGGCCUUCGGGUUGUAAACUGCUUUUGUACGGAAUGAAACGGCAAGCUCUAAUACAGUUUGCUAAUGACGGUACCGUAAGAAUAAGCACCGGCUAACUACGUGCCAGCAGCCGCGGUAA